UAGGGCCUGUGACUGUGUUUACAGAUAGAUCCUGUGAGGCAGUGAGUAAAGUUAAAUGAGGCCAUAAAGUCCUUAAUCCAUAGGUCUAAUGUCGUUGUAAGAAGAGGAAGAGAAACCAGAGUUCUCUCUCCUGUGCAUACCAUCAAGGAAAGGUCAUGUGAGCACGCAGUGAGAAGGUGGCCAUCUGCAAACCAGGAAGAGAGCUUCACCAGAAACUGACCAUGCUGGCAUCUUGGUCUUGGACUUCCAAGCCUCAAGAGCUGGCAUUUGAGAACUCACAAGAGAUGGUUCAUGUCAUUACUGGGGCUGAAGAAAUAAGAAAAAAGAAUGGUUAUUGGAAUCUGAAAACUGGGAGUGCCGAGUGGAUAGAGCUGUGUAACAGGACCUGUGGCCUUAGGCAAGUGACUUAGCCGUGCCAUGCCAACUCUGUUGGGAGAGUCAAGGUCACAGUCUGACAAUGAGAUGAACUAAACUGAGAUUUGGAAGGUAGAAGAAAAAAGAGGAUUAUUCUUCAGAAGCCUUUGAAGCCAAGGGUGUGGGCAGAUGACAGACAAGAAGUUCACAGCAGCUUGCUGACAACAUCCUACAUCUCACCUGCUUUAGGCUUUGUAUAGCUUAGAUAGCUCAUGGUGACUUCUGGAGAAUUGUUCUCCUUGGUAUUGCAGAUUCAAAUAGUCAGUGGAAGCCACUCAGCAGUUCUUGAGAUUUCAGUGACUUCUGGAGGAAUUUUUAAGAACCAUCUACUUUAGUGCCAUAGGCUGGAAAUAUUGGUGAGAGCUUCCCUUUCUUUACUCUCCGAUCCAUACAAUGGUUUUGAAAAACUUUUAGUUUCUUCUAUUGAAAUCCUUCAUACUUGGAAUAAUAAAAUAGCUUCUAUUUUCAUGACCAAA
Long non-coding RNA from Homo sapiens (human), 890 nucleotides. RefSeq lists it as uncharacterized. Lineage: Eukaryota; Metazoa; Chordata; Mammalia; Primates; Hominidae. The record is from RefSeq and is a predicted model, not a curated record. The transcript has 3 exons.